AUUGAACGCUGGCGGCAGGCCUAACACAUGCAAGUCGAACGGUAACAGAAAGCAGCUUGCUGCUUUGCUGACGAGUGGCGGACGGGUGAGUAAUGUCUGGGAAACUGCCUGAUGGAGGGGGAUAACUACUGGAAACGGUAGCUAAUACCGCAUAACGUCGCAAGACCAAAGAGGGGGACCUUCGGGCCUCUUGCCAUCGGAUGUGCCCAGAUGGGAUUAGCUGGUAGGUGGGGUAACGGCUCACCUAGGCGACGAUCCCUAGCUGGUCUGAGAGGAUGACCAGCCACACUGGAACUGAGACACGGUCCAGACUCCUACGGGAGGCAGCAGUGGGGAAUAUUGCACAAUGGGCGCAAGCCUGAUGCAGCCAUGCCGCGUGUAUGAAGAAGGCCUUCGGGUUGUAAAGUACUUUCAGCGGGGAGGAAGGGAGUAAAGUUAAUACCUUUGCUCAUUGACGUUACCCGCAGAAGAAGCACCGGCUAACUCCGCG
Molecule: ribosomal RNA, 490 nt
Filed under: uncultured bacterium
Lineage: Bacteria
Description: partial 16S ribosomal RNA
Rfam family: Bacterial small subunit ribosomal RNA
Source: RNAcentral